Cinara cedri is the source of this 301-nucleotide non-coding RNA. The record is from the annotation of a GenBank genome assembly. Lineage: Eukaryota; Metazoa; Arthropoda; Insecta; Hemiptera; Aphididae.
UCGAUGAAGUACACAUUAUCGCCGUCUCAAUAUUUCACCACCACUUUACCUGUAUAGAUUCUAUACAAAUUAUGGUUGAACAAAACUGAAAUCGCGAUCGCAGUGUACUGCAGAACGCAGAGUAUAAACGAAAAGAAAUAAUGCGUACAGACAUUUUUAAUCGUUUUCGCGUACGUUUUGUGUUACGGUUGAUGUUGUUAAUAUCGAUAAUAUAUUAAACUAUUUUGUGCGGUCGAUUUUAAAACAUUAGAGUGCACUGGUCGAUUAUCGAACCCAAAGGUAAGCAUGUAUAGGUAUUGUU